This 403-nucleotide ribosomal RNA is filed under the name uncultured bacterium. RNAcentral describes it as "partial 16S ribosomal RNA". It matches the Rfam family "Bacterial small subunit ribosomal RNA", at positions 28 to 526 of the family's 1533-position model. The record is from RNAcentral.
GACGAACGCUGGCGGCGUGCCUAAUACAUGCAAGUCGAACGCAGUGGGGACGGGUGAGUAACACGUGGUUAACCUCCCAUCAGAGGGGAUAACACUUGGAAACAGGUGCUAAACCGAUACUGAUGGAUGGACCCGCGGUGCAUUAGCUAGUUGGUGAGGUAACGGCUCACCAAGGCAACGAUGCAUAGACGGCCGGAGAGGGGGAUCGGCCACACUGGGACUGGGACACGGCCCAGACUACUUCGAGUGGCAGCGGUAGGGAAUCUUCGGAAAUGGAAGAAAGUCUGACCGAACAACGCCGCGUGAGUUAAGAAGGUUUUCGGAUCGUAAAACUCUGUUGUUAGAGAAGCGGUAUCUAACCAGAGAGCCACGACUAACUACGUGCCAGCAGCCGCGGUAAUGC